AUACGGAGGGGGCAAGCGUUGUUCGGAAUUACUGGGCGUAAAGAGUACGUAGGCGGAUCGUUAAGUUAGAGGUGAAAUCCCAGGGCUUAACCCUGGAACUGCCUUUAAUACUGGCGAUCUAGAGAUCGAGAGAGGUGAGUGGAAUUUCCAGUGUAGAGGUGAAAUUCGUAGAUAUUGGAAAGAACACCAGUGGCGAAGGCGGCUCACUGGCUCGAUACUGACGCUGAGGUACGAAAGCGUGGAGAGCAAACAGGAUUAGAAACCCCAGUAGUCC
This 274-nucleotide ribosomal RNA is filed under the name uncultured bacterium. Its description in RNAcentral is "partial 16S ribosomal RNA". It matches the Rfam family "Bacterial small subunit ribosomal RNA", at positions 523 to 796 of the family's 1533-position model. The record is from RNAcentral.